Non-coding RNA from Potamilus streckersoni, 74 nucleotides. The record is from the annotation of a GenBank genome assembly. Lineage: Eukaryota; Metazoa; Mollusca; Bivalvia; Unionida; Unionidae.
AGCGCCGGAAGCCUACUGGUUAGAGCUUCCGCCUCAGAUGCGAUAGGUCGUGGGUUCGAUCCCCGUUCGAGUCA